GAUGAACGCUAGCGAUAGGCUUAACACAUGCAAGUCGAGGGGCAGCACAAGGUAGCUUGCUAUCUGGGUGGCGACCGGCGCACGGGUGCGUAACGCGUAUGCAACUUGCCCUAUACAGGAGGAUAACCCGUCGAAAGACGGACUAAUACUGCGUAUGCUCACAACUUGGCGUCAAGUGGUGAGGAAAGAAAUUCGGUAUAGGAUAGGCAUGCGUCCCAUUAGCUUGUUGGUGAGGUAACGGCUCACCAAGGCAACGAUGGGUAGGGGAACUGAGAGGUUUAUCCCCCACACUGGUACUGAGACACGGACCAGACUCCUACGGGAGGCAGCAGUGAGGAAUAUUGGUCAAUGGGCGCGAGCCUGAACCAGCCAAGUCGCGUGAAGGAUGACUGUCUUAUGGAUUGUAAACUUCUUUUAUACGGGAAUAACAAGAGUCACGUGUGACUCCCUGCAUGUACCGUAUGAAUAAGCAUCGGCUAACUCCGUG
RNAcentral lists this ribosomal RNA (487 nucleotides) under uncultured bacterium. Its description in RNAcentral is "partial 16S ribosomal RNA". It matches the Rfam family "Bacterial small subunit ribosomal RNA", at positions 28 to 507 of the family's 1533-position model. The record is from RNAcentral.